GACGAACGCUGGCGGCGUGCUUAACACAUGCAAGUCGAACGGAAAGGCCCUGCUUUUGUGGGGUGCUCGAGUGGCGAACGGGUGAGUAACACGUAAGUAACCUGCCCUUGACUUUGGGAUAACUUAAGGAAACUGGGGCUAAUACCGGAUAGGAGCUCAUGUUGCAGGGUGGGGGUUGGAAAGUUUCGGCGGUUGGGGAUGGACUCGCGGCUUAUCAGCUUGUUGGUGGGGUAGGGGCUUACCAAGGGUUUGACGGGUAGCCGGCCUGAGAGGGUGACCGGCCACAUUGGGACUGAGAUACGGCCCAGACUCCUACGGGAGGCAGCAGUGGGGAAUAUUGCACAAUGGGCGGAAGCCUGAUGCAGCAACGCCGCGUGCGGGAUGACGGCCUUCGGGUUGUAAACCGCUUUCGCCUGUGACGAAGCGUGAGUGACGGUAAUGGGUAAAGAAGCACCGGCUAACUACGUG
RNAcentral lists this ribosomal RNA (468 nucleotides) under uncultured bacterium. Its description in RNAcentral is "partial 16S ribosomal RNA". It matches the Rfam family "Bacterial small subunit ribosomal RNA", at positions 28 to 507 of the family's 1533-position model. The record is from RNAcentral.